This 1659-nucleotide long non-coding RNA is filed under the name Cricetulus griseus (Chinese hamster). RNAcentral's name for it is "lncRNA (ENSCGRG00000026607.1)". Lineage: Eukaryota; Metazoa; Chordata; Mammalia; Rodentia; Cricetidae. The record is from RNAcentral.
GGCAAAGGCUGUGGAGUAGAUAGUAACAAGGUGGUCUACAAACCAGGGCAAGCCCUUCUCUAGACGUCAACCCUGUCUGUACAUCUUGAAUUGCUCACCUCAAGACUGUGAAGAAAUAAACACCCACUGUAUAAGCCUCUCAGCCUGUGGCAUUUUGGGGUGUCAGCCUGAGUUGACUAAGACACCUGGAAAUGCUCAAAUAGAAGGCUCAGAAGUUAGUGUGGAGGGCAUCGAGAUGUUGUCUAAUGGCUGGCUAAUCUUCUUGGACUUCAGAAUCUUUCAUUUCUAAAAGGAGCUCUAUAAACAACGUUCAGCCUGGCAAAGCAAAAAGAGUGUCUUCUUUGAUCCUUGGUUAAGAUUCUGAAGUGGGUAAGAGUCUGCCAUGACAGAGGACUUCAUUGCAGGAAGGCCCAGGCUGUCAUCAUGGCAGUAGCUAGGCAUUCAAAAGGAACCCCAUGCUGGUUAGUUUUGAUUGUCAACCCAAUGCAACUGAGUACCAUCUGGCAAGAGUCUUAAGAGUUAUGGCCAAUGGACAUAUCAGUAGGUGAUUGUCUAGAUUGUUAAUUGAUAUAGGAAGAUCCAGCUCACUGUAGGCAAUUCCACCAUCUGGCAAGAGUCUUAAGAGUUAAGGCCAAUGGACAUAUCAGUAGGUGAUAGUCUAGAUUGUUAAUUGAUAUAGGAAGAUCCAGCUCACUGUAGGCAAUUCAUUCUCUAGGCAGGAGGUCCAGAACUGUCUAAGAGGAGAAAUAGAGCUGACAGCAAGCAAGGAUCCAUGUGUUUAUUCUCUUUGUCCCUUGAUUGUGGAUGUGGUACUUUGAGUUUUUGCCUUGAUGGCCCCAAAAUAAUGGACUGUAACCUUGGGUUGUAAGUUAAACAAACUCUUUCUUUCACAGGUUGACUUUGGUAAGGGUAUUUUUAUUUAUUUAUUUAUUUAUUUAUUUAUUUAUUUAUUUAUUUAUUUAUUUAUUUAUUUAUUUAUUUAUUUAUUUAUUUAUUUAUUUAUUUAUUUAUUUAUUUAUUUAUUUAUUUAUUUAUUUAUUUAUUUAUUUAUUUAUUUAUUUAUUUAUUUAUUUAUUUAUUUAUUUAUUUAUUUAUUUAUUUUUAAAGGUUUUCUUUAUUUAUUAUGUAUACAACAUUCUGCUUCCAUGUAUAUCUGCACACCAGAAGAGGGCACCAGAUCUCAUAACGGAUGGUUGUGAGCCACCAUGUGGUUGCCGAGAAUUGAACUCAGGACCUCUGGAAGAACAGUCAGUGCUCUUAACUGCUGAGCCAUCUCUCUGGCCCCGGUAUUCACUCAAGAGUAAUAGAGUGCACGUCUGCACAAAGGCCUGCACUCGGCUUCUCUGUGAAACCCCCAAACUGGAACUAACAGGUCUUGAAGCCCAGCAUGGCAGCCUGAAAAGAAGGUUGGAGCCAAUUUACAGAUGGCUCUGAAUCCAGGGGAAGGUGGACUGAAGACUUACAGUUUUGAUGCUGUUUAUAUGUCCUUGACCUGAUGCACCCCCAAAACACGAGUUACUAAAAUAAAACAGAAGAUAGCAACAAUUGCAGCAGAGAGUUAAUAUUUCAGUGCGGACUUCACACACAGCAAAAAGAACAAUAGGGAUGAGCUCAGCAGCACGGACCUGUCACUUCUCGAGAGGCAAGUUCAAGGCUAGC